GACGAACCGUGCGAACGUUGUUCGGAAUCACUGGGCUUAAAGGGCGCGUAGGCGGUUUGCCAAGUCAGGGGUGAAAUCCUGCAGCUCAACUGUAGAAGUGCCUUUGAUACUGGCGAACUCGAGGGAGGUAGGGGUGCGUGGAACUUCUGGUGGAGCGGUGAAAUGCGUUGAUAUCAGAAGGAACGCCGGUGGCGAAAGCGACGCACUGGACCUCUUCUAACGCUGAGGCGCGAAAGCUAGGGGAGCAAACGGG
Molecule: ribosomal RNA, 253 nt
Filed under: uncultured bacterium
Lineage: Bacteria
Description: partial 16S ribosomal RNA
Rfam family: Bacterial small subunit ribosomal RNA
Source: RNAcentral